UUGCGAAGGCAGCUUACAAAAAGUGUAACUGACACUGAUGCACGAAAGCGUGGGUAUCAAACAGGAUUAGAUACCCUGGUAGUCCACGCCGUAAACUAUGAUUACUCAGAGCAUGCGAUAUAAUGUAUGCUCUCAAGCGAAAGCAUUAAGUAAUCCACCUGGGGAGUACGUCGGCAACGAUGAAACUCAAAGGAAUUGACGGGGGCCCGCACAAGCGGAGGAACAUGUGGUUUAAUUCGAUGAUACGCGAGGAACCUUACCUGGGAUUGAAAUGUAUAGGACAGGGGAUGGAAACAUUCUUUUUCUCUUCGGAGACUUAUAUGUAGGUGCUGCAUGGUUGUCGUCAGCUCGUGCCGUGAGGUGUCGGCUUAAGUGCCAUAACGAGCGCAACCCUUAUCGUUAGUUACUAGCGGGUAAUGCUGAGGACUCUAGCGAGACUGCCGUCGUAAGGCGAGAGGAAGGUGGGGAUGACGUCAAAUCAGCACGGCCCUUAUAUCCAGGGCGACACACGUGUUACAAUGGUGAGGACAAAGGGUAGCUACCUGGUGACAGGAUGCCAAUCUCCAAACCUCAUCUCAGUUCGGAUCGAAGUCUGCAACUCGACUUCGUGAAGCUGGAUUCGCUAGUAAUCGCGCAUCAGCCAUGGCGCGGUGAAUACGUUCCCGGGCCUUGUACACACCGCCCGUCAAGCCAUGGGAGCUGGGGGUACCUGAAGUACGUGACCGCGAGGAGCGUCCGAGGGUAAGACCGGUGACUGGGGCUAAGUCGUAACAAGGUAUGG
Molecule: ribosomal RNA, 781 nt
Filed under: uncultured Porphyromonas sp.
Lineage: Bacteria; Pseudomonadati; Bacteroidota; Bacteroidia; Bacteroidales; Porphyromonadaceae
Description: bacterial SSU rRNA
Rfam family: Bacterial small subunit ribosomal RNA
Source: RNAcentral